Molecule: ribosomal RNA, 384 nt
Filed under: uncultured archaeon
Lineage: Archaea
Description: bacterial SSU rRNA
Rfam family: Archaeal small subunit ribosomal RNA
Source: RNAcentral
CUAGGGAGUNNNNNAGGUACACGGUACUCGAUAGGAAGGGGUAAAAUCCUUUGAUCUAUUGAUGACCACCUGUGGCGAAGGCGGUGUACCAGAACACGUUCGACGGUGAGGGAUGAAAGCUGGGGGAGCAAACCGGAUUAGAUACCCGGGUAGUCCCAGCUGUAAACGAUGCAGACUCGGUGAUGCAUUGGCUUGUGGCCAAUGCAGUGCCGCAGGGAAGCCGUUAAGUCUGCCGCCUGGGAAGUACGUACGCAAGUAUGAAACUUAAAGGAAUUGGCGGGGGAGCACCACAAGGGGUGAAGCCUGCGGUUCAAUUGGAGUCAACGCCAGAAAUCUUACCUGGGGAGACAGCAGAAUGAAGGUCAAGCUGAAGACUUUACCAGA